AUUGAACGCUGGCGGCAGGCCUAACACAUGCAAGUCGAGCGGAUGAAGGGUGCUUGCUCCUGGAUUCAGCGGCGGACGGGUGAGUAAUGCCUAGGAAUCUGCCUGGUAGUGGGGGAUAACGUCCGGAAACGGGCGCUAAUACCGCAUACGUCCUGAGGGAGAAAGUGGGGGAUCUUCGGACCUCACGCUAUCAGAUGAGCCUAGGUCGGAUUAGCUAGUUGGUGGGGUAAAGGCCUACCAAGGCGACGAUCCGUAACUGGUCUGAGAGGAUGAUCAGUCACACUGGAACUGAGACACGGUCCAGACUCCUACGGGAGGCAGCAGUGGGGAAUAUUGGACAAUGGGCGAAAGCCUGAUCCAGCCAUGCCGCGUGAGUGAAGAAGGUCUUCGGAUUGUAAAGCACUUUAAGUUGGGAGGAAGGGCAGUAAGUUAAUACCUUGCUGUUUUGACGUUACCAACAGAAUAAGCACCGGCUAACUUCGUG
RNAcentral lists this ribosomal RNA (484 nucleotides) under uncultured bacterium. Its description in RNAcentral is "partial 16S ribosomal RNA". It matches the Rfam family "Bacterial small subunit ribosomal RNA", at positions 30 to 507 of the family's 1533-position model. The record is from RNAcentral.